CCCCUCUCGGGGUCGCACCUGGAGAGUUUCCAGUGCUCUACCGGUCUUGGCUAAGGGAGGGAGAGUCAAGUAGAGGUCAACCCAUUCCAUUCCUAGCUCGGCUAGUGGCUAGCAAGUGGAAGACAAUCUACUACAAGA
This is a small nucleolar RNA of Tachyglossus aculeatus (Australian echidna), 138 nucleotides long. The record is from RefSeq and is a predicted model, not a curated record. NCBI's taxonomy places the organism in Eukaryota, Metazoa, Chordata, Mammalia, Monotremata, Tachyglossidae.